GAAAGCGGCUGUCGAGAGGAGCGGUCCCGCUCCCGCUCCCCUUGGCGGGGGCUUCGGCGCUGCCACCGCCAUGAGGCUCCGCAGGAAAAGCAAAAGUCCGGCGGUGCUGAGCCACGAGUUCAUCAUCCAGAACCUUGCGGACACCGUGUCCUCCCUGGCGAUGUGCCUCCUGCUGGGGCUGAUGUUCGAGGGCACAGCCAAAUACGUCAUCAUCUUUAUCACUGUGCAGUACAAUGUCACCUAUGCCAUUGAUGAUGAGAAUGAACACGUUCAUUUUUAUGACUAUGGUCCGAAAGACAUUGCCACCAUCCUCUUCUACAUGCUCAUAGCUAUUAUUCUGCAUGCUGUAAUCCAGGAAUACGUAUUAGAUAAAAUUAAUAAACAUCUGCAUUUGUCAGAAACAAAGCACAGCAAAUUCAAUGAAUCGGGACAGCUAGCAUUUUUCUACUUGUUUUCACUUACAUGGGGAGCAAGUAUUUUAACUACAGAAGAUUUCAUGAUGAACCCAACCUCACUGUGGAAUGAUUAUCCCCGUUCUCGUAUGCUUUUUCAGGUAAAAUUCUUCUAUAUUUGCCAGAUAGCCUACUGGCUUCAUGCACUGCCGGAGCUAUACUUCCAAAAGAUCCAAAAGGAAGAUGUUCCAAGACAGCUAUGUUAUAUUUGCCUUUACAUUGCUCAUAUCUCUGGUGCCUACAUAUUGAAUUUGCAGCAUUUGGGGCUAAUUCUGAUGGUACCUCACUAUUUAGUGGAACUCAUUUUUCAUGCCUCACGUCUCUUCUACUUCAGUGAUGAAAACAAGCAAAAAGGAUUUACCAUUUGGGCUUUACUUUUUGUAAUGGCACGUCUUUUGACCCUAACUUUAUCUGUCCUCAUGUUUGGAUUUGGUCUCGCAAGAGUAGAGAAUCCAGAUUUUUCUAUAGCAGACGGAAACUUCAAUGUACUCACUGUGAGGAUUAGCUGCCUGACUGCCAUUUGCCUAACACAGGCCUGGAUGAUGUGGAAAUUUAUAAACUCUCAGCUGAAGAAAUGGAGAGAGCAUAUUCAGAAACAGAUUCCUAAGAAAAAAAUAACUAACACAAAGAGCAAACCGACAAAAAAGGAACCAAACAGAGGCCAGUGCUAACUUUGUCAAUGGAGCAGCAAAAUUAGAAGACAGAGCAUCACCAAGAAUAAGAAAAUCAAAACCAGUAUAAGCUAAUACUAGAGGACAACAUUUGACAGAAGACUGACUUUAAAAAAUUGAUCCUGCAAAACUAUUAUUUGGAUGUUUUUUAUUAUAUGAAUGGACACUGUCAGAUUAUAUUUAAAGUAUUUUUGUUAAUAACUCAUAUUUAUGACAACAGACCAUCUUUAAUCUAUGUUAACCCAACAGCCUUCUUCAAAUUCCACUUAGCUUUGACAAGGAAAACAGAUAAACCGGUUUCAGUUAGUGGUUCUAUGACCAGAAUGUCGUCAGAAAUGAUCACACUUCUAUAUUUGCAUUAGAGGCACUUCACGAUUCUGUCUGAAUCUAUAUAAUUUGUUCUUUCAGUUGUUUCUACAAAACCUAAAUUCUACACUAAAAGAUCGUACUGUGUCUGUUUUUGUUGCUGGGUUUCCCCCCCCUACAAGAUUCUUUUCUAUUUCAUUCAUCUUAACUGGAGUGAGAGGUUCUGAAUUGACCACCUGGCAUGGAAUUGAGUGGAAGUUGUAUAGUGGCGCAAAGGUGCGGAGAAUGCUGUUGCACUUUCCUGCUUGUGUUUAAGUCCAAUAAACAACUGUAAUGAAUCAAAUUAGGCUCUAAAAUGUAGGAAGUUUACAGAACUUGAUUAACUCCAGCUCCCAGGAAGACUUUUCUAUUCAAUCCCUGUGAUGCCUGUGCUAAUUCCAAAGUCUUUCAAGUGCUAGAUAUUCCCUCAACUCCAAUCAAGCAGUUUGCAGUCAGUCUGCUGCAAGCUAUUAGCAUACAGAAAAAUUAUCCAAAUACAGAAUAAAGGAGGCUUAAAAUUCUACAGUCAUCAAGAAGUGCAAGUUCAGCCCCGGAAAGCCUGGUGAUGAUGUGACAAACUAUAGUUCUACUUAACCUGCUUAGUUCAGAGGACUUUAUGAAUUCAAAAGAUCAAAGAAACUUUAUUCUGAAGUUUUGGUUGGAAUUUUGAAUUUUGAGGCAUGAAAGUUGUUUUGUUUCUUUUGUGUUGACAGUUGAUAAUUAUUAGGGGAAGAAAGAAGGAAUGGAAAGCUGCUUUUGUCCUGGGAUAAUAUUGGAAAAUACUAUAGCAUAGGAGUUAUUUUCUAUAGGGAUGUUCUUGCUAUUUCCUUUAGCAUUAAAAAAUAAUAAUAAAAAAAUCUUAUCAAUAGAUGGAACAGGAAAAAAGCUAAGCUCAGGUAAAACUUCAUAUGAAGAGUGCUUUUUGAUCAUGUUCAGUGUUUUUUCUAUCUCUGAGUUAAAAAAAAAAAAAAAGGGCUGAAGAAACAGGAGUUUUCACAUGCACUAAUUAUCUAAAUAGAAAAUGAUCUUGGAAAAAAUCAGGAGACAAUGUUAUGUCUUCUGUUAUGGAGAGCGAUGCCAUUGUAAAAGGGAAAACGUUCUUUCGGAGGAAGAAUAAUAGCUGAUAGAAAAUGAUGACUGACUGCAUUGUGGUCACAGUAAAAAUGAAUGGCAAUGUCCAAAAGAUGAAAUAUGGGUCCUGUUUGCUUAAGUCAGUGCUUCCAUUGGCCUUUGAUUGAUUGAGUGUUGUGAUCAGUUGGAUUUAAUUAGCAUGUUACGUAAACCGAGCUUAAAUUCAAGCAUGUCUCAUGGUGCAUGUCUUUGUCUUUACAUUUAUCUAAAUGUAUUUACAAGUUUAGCUGGAUACUUUAAAAGAAAAAUGCACCAGUAGGUGGAGCAAAUAGAUAAAAAUGUCAAAUUAUACAGUCUUACAGUUGUACUUGUCCUAAAACUGAUGAAAAUAAAUACAAUUUUACUAA
This is an RNA transcript of Rhea pennata, 2946 nucleotides long. It is a transcript of the gene named translocating chain-associated membrane protein 1-like 1, with no coding region annotated. The transcript is spliced from 13 exons. The record is from RefSeq and is a predicted model, not a curated record. NCBI's taxonomy places the organism in Eukaryota, Metazoa, Chordata, Aves, Rheiformes, Rheidae.